This 1305-nucleotide ribosomal RNA is filed under the name groundwater metagenome. RNAcentral's name for it is "bacterial LSU rRNA". It matches the Rfam family "Bacterial large subunit ribosomal RNA", at positions 928 to 2203 of the family's 2925-position model. The record is from RNAcentral.
CCACCAGACUACCUUGCCCAACCAAACUCCGAAUACCGGUGACCGUAUCACGGCAGUCAGAGCGUGGCGGAUAAGCGUCAUGCUCAAGAGGGAAACAGCCCAGACCGACGGCUAAGGUCCCAAAAUCCAGGUUAAGUGCACCAUGAAAGGAAGUGAGAGUGCUAAGACAGUGAGGAUGUUGGCUUAGAAGCAGCCACCAUUUAAAAAGUGCGUAACAGCUUACUCAUCGAGCAUUCUCGCGCCGAAAAUGAUCGGGCCUCAAACCUGGUACCGAAGCCACGGGCUUCGUGAUUCCUGAGGGAGUUGCGGAGCUGUAGCGGAGCGUUCCACGCAAGGUUGAAGGGAUACCGUGAGGAGUCCUGGACAACGUGGAAGCGAGAAUCCGGGCAUAAGUAGCGCGCGAAGACGAGUGAGAAGCUCGUCCGCCGUAAGCCUAAGGUUUCCUGGGGAAGGUAACUCCGCCCAGGGUUAGCCGGUCCCUAAGGCGAGGCUGAAAAGCGUAGCUGAUGGGAAGCAGGUCAACAUUCCUGCGCCGCUUUGCAGGUGAUCAAGACACAGCAGGGGAGGUGAAGGAGGCUAGGCCAUCCCGACGACCGCAAAUGUCGGGUCGAUGUCGCCAGCUAUACGGUCCGUUGGCAAAUCCGCGGGCUGUGGUGAGGGCAUCGAGGAUCCCACUUCGAGGAGUACUGGCUGAUGCCAUGCUUACGAGAAAAACCUCGGUUGUGAAUCUGCAGUGCGACCGUACUAAAACCGACACAGGUAGGCAAGGAGAGUAUCCUAAGGCGCUCGAGUCACCCCUCAUUAAGGAACUAGGCAAAAUGACCCCGUAACUUCGGGACAAGGGGAGCCCCUGGGGGUACUAAGCUCUCGGGGGCCGCAGAGAAUCGGGCUGGGGAACUGUUUACUAAAAACACAGGUCUGUGCCAAGCCGCAAGGCAACGUAUACAGACCGACGCUUGCCCAGUGCUGGAAGGUUAAGAGGUGGUGUGAGGUCUUCGGACUGAAGCACCUAAUCGAAGCCCCAGUAAAAGGCGGCCGUAACUAUGACGGUCCUAAGGUAGCGAAGUUCCUUGUCGGGUAAGUUCCGACGCGCAUGAAUAGCGUAAUCACUUGGCCGGUGUCUCAAUGAGGAGCUCGGCGAACUUGCAGCGGCGGUGAAGAUACCGCCUACCCGCAGAUGGACGAAAAGACCCCGUGAACCUUUACUGUAGCCUCAUACUGGGUUCAGACAUGACAUGCGUAGGAUAGGUGGGAGACUUCGAUGCUCGGGUUCCGGCUCGGGCUGAGUCGACGGUGAAAUACCAC